CACGCGUACCCAUCCCGAACACGACCGUUAAGCCCUCCAGCGCCGAUGGUACUUGGACCGAAGGGUCCUGGGAGAGUAGGACGCCGCCAAGC
RNAcentral lists this ribosomal RNA (92 nucleotides) under Paenibacillus apis. Lineage: Bacteria; Bacillati; Bacillota; Bacilli; Caryophanales; Paenibacillaceae. RNAcentral also lists the same sequence under 1 other name. The record is from RNAcentral.